RNAcentral lists this ribosomal RNA (253 nucleotides) under uncultured bacterium. RNAcentral's name for it is "partial 16S ribosomal RNA". It matches the Rfam family "Bacterial small subunit ribosomal RNA", at positions 524 to 776 of the family's 1533-position model. The record is from RNAcentral.
UACGAGGGGGGCGAGCGUUGUUCGGAAUUAUUGGGCGUAAAGGGUGCGUAGGCGGUUUGGUAAGUCUCGUGUGAAAUCUACAGGCUCAACUUGUAGUCUGCACGAGAAACUGCCGGGCUUGAGUGUGGGAGAGGUGAGUGGAAUUCCCGGUGUAGCGGUGAAAUGCGUAGAUAUCAGGAAGAACACCCGUGGCUAAGGCGGCUCUCUAGUACGGUACUGACGCUGAGACGCGAAAGCGUGGGGAGCGAACAGG